This 442-nucleotide ribosomal RNA is filed under the name uncultured bacterium. RNAcentral describes it as "partial 16S ribosomal RNA". It matches the Rfam family "Bacterial small subunit ribosomal RNA", at positions 338 to 795 of the family's 1533-position model. The record is from RNAcentral.
CCUACGGGUGGCAGCAGUAGGGAAUCUUUCACAAUGGGCGAAAGCCUGAUGGAGCAACGCCGCGUGCAGGAUGAAGGCCUUCGGGUUGUAAACUGCUUUUAUAAGCGAGAAAUAUGAUGGUAACUUAUGAAUAAGGAUCGGCUAACUACGUGCCAGCAUCCGCGGUCAUACGUAGGAUCCGAGCAUUAUCCGGAGUGACUGGGUGUAAAGAGGUGCGUAGGUGGCAUAAUAAGUAGCUAGUGAAAUCUGGUGGCUCAACCAUUCAGACUAUUAGCGAAACUGUUAAGCUCGAGACCGUUAGGGGCAUCUGGAAUUUCUAGUGUAGGAGUGAAAUGCGUAGAUAUUAGAAGGAACACCAGUAGCGUAGGCAGGCUGCUGGGACGGUUCUGACACUAAGGCACGAAAGCGUAGGGAGCAAACGGGAUUAGAUACCCCAGUAGUC